This 164-nucleotide ribosomal RNA is filed under the name Trithrinax campestris. Its description in RNAcentral is "5.8S ribosomal RNA". It matches the Rfam family "5.8S ribosomal RNA". Rfam says of the family: 5.8S ribosomal RNA (5.8S rRNA) is a component of the large subunit of the eukaryotic ribosome. It is transcribed by RNA polymerase I as part of the 45S precursor that also contains 18S and 28S rRNA. The record is from RNAcentral. Lineage: Eukaryota; Viridiplantae; Streptophyta; Magnoliopsida; Arecales; Arecaceae.
GGUACGACUCUCGGCAAUGGAUAUCUCGGCUCUCGCAUCGAUGAAGAACGUAGCGAAAUGCGAUACCUGGUGUGAAUUGCAGAAUCCCGCGAACCAUCGAGUCUUUGAACGCAAGUUGCGCCCGAGGCCGCUAGGCCGAGGGCACGCCUGCCUGGGCGUCACGC